RNAcentral lists this small RNA (97 nucleotides) under Epilithonimonas hungarica. Its description in RNAcentral is "Chryseobacterium hungaricum Flavo-1 RNA". It matches the Rfam family "Flavo-1 RNA". Lineage: Bacteria; Pseudomonadati; Bacteroidota; Flavobacteriia; Flavobacteriales; Weeksellaceae. The record is from RNAcentral.
CCAUAGCCCUGAUGGGAACGGCAUCCUUUUGCAAAAAACAGCCUCGGAAUGAGUUGUUGGGUUUUUGCAAAAGAUAUAGUGGACAGCAGGUUCCCGG